GACGAACGCUGGCGGCGUGCUUAACACAUGCAAGUCGAACGGUGAAGCUCCAGCCUGCUGGCGUGGAUCAGUGGCGAACGGGUGAGUAACACGUGAGCAACCUGCCCCUGACUCUGGAAUAAGCCCUGGAAACGGCGUCUAAUACUGGAUACGAGAAGGUCCCGCAUGGGCACUUUCUGGAAAGUUUUUCGGUUGGGGAUGGGCUCGCGGCCUAUCAGCCUGUUGGUGAGGUAAUGGCUCACCAAGGCGACGACGGGUAGCCGGCCUGAGAGGGCGACCGGCCACACUAGGACUAAGGCACGGCCCAGACUCCUACGGGGGGCAGCAGUGGGGAGUAUUGCGCAGUAAGCGGAAGCCUGAUGCAGCGGCGCCGCGUGAGGGAUGACGGCCUUCGGGUUGUAAACCUCUUUCAGCAGGGAAGAAGCGGAAGUGACGGUACCUGCAGAAGAAGCACCGGCUAACUACGUG
RNAcentral lists this ribosomal RNA (468 nucleotides) under uncultured bacterium. RNAcentral's name for it is "partial 16S ribosomal RNA". It matches the Rfam family "Bacterial small subunit ribosomal RNA", at positions 28 to 507 of the family's 1533-position model. The record is from RNAcentral.